CCUACGGGUGGCAGCAGUGAGGAAUAUUGGUCAAUGGUCGGGAGACUGAACCAGCCAAGCCGCGUGAGGGAUGAAGGUACAGAGUAUCGUAAACCUCUUUUGUCAGGGAACAAAGGCGGGGACGCGUCCCCGGAUGAGUGUACCUGAAGAAAAAGCAUCGGCUAACUCCGUGCCAGCAGCCGCGGUAAUACGGAGGAUGCGAGCGUUAUCCGGAUUUAUUGGGUUUAAAGGGUGCGCAGGCGGUCUGUUAAGUCAGGGGUAAACGCCCGGGGCCAAACCGCGGCCCGGCGUUGAAACUGGCAGUCUCGAGUUGGAGAGAAGUAUGCGGAAUGCGCGGUGUAGCGGUGAAAUGCAGAGAUAUCGCGCAGAACUACGAUUGCGAAGGCAGCAUGCCGGCUCCACACUGACGCUGAGGCACGAAAGCGUGGGUAGCGAACAGGAUUAGAUACCCGAGUAGUC
Molecule: ribosomal RNA, 459 nt
Filed under: uncultured bacterium
Lineage: Bacteria
Description: partial 16S ribosomal RNA
Rfam family: Bacterial small subunit ribosomal RNA
Source: RNAcentral